Long non-coding RNA from Drosophila miranda, 2924 nucleotides. RefSeq lists it as uncharacterized. The transcript is spliced from 2 exons. Lineage: Eukaryota; Metazoa; Arthropoda; Insecta; Diptera; Drosophilidae. The record is from RefSeq and is a predicted model, not a curated record.
CACACAUCAAUGCUUGUCUCGUGUGUAAGACGACCAAAGCCCCGAAUUAUGUUCUUCGACCUCCGUUAGGGAAAGCGCCGGAGAGUCAGCGGUUCUUUCAAAGACUGUUCGUGGAUUUCCUGGGACCUUAUCCCAGGUCGAGAGGCGGAAACAUAGGCAUUUUUAUCGUACUGGACCACUUCUCGAAAUACAUCUUCCUGAAGCCCGUCAAGAAAAUAAGCGCUGACGUGGUGGUUAAGUAUCUCGAAACUGAAUUAUUCAUGGCGUUUGGUGUUCCCGAAACAAUCGUAUCUGAUAAUGGAUCCCAGCUCCGAUCCGAAACGUUUCGAAAGCUUUUAAGUCGGUUUGAAAUAACACACACUUUAACGGCCGUGCAUUCACCGCAAGCGAACGCCUCUGAGCGUGUGAACCGGUCAGUGAUUAGCGGGAUCAGGGCGUACCUACGAACCGAUCAGAAGGAUUGGGACGAGCACCUAAGUCGCAUUUCAUGUGCGCUAAGAUCCGCGUCUCAUGCUAGUAUAGGGACUACCCCGUACUACAUGGUGUUUGGCCAGCAUAUGGUCACCGCCGGGUCGACAUAUUCGCUACUCAGGAAAUUAAAGUUACUAGACGAUCGAUCCUUGGUAUUCAACAGACCCGACUCGCUUGAAAUCAUACGCAAGGGCGCCUGUGUACAAAUGCAGAAGAUGCACGAUCAAAACGAGAAGCGAUACAACCUGCGCUCAAGACAAGUAGAUUUCGCCGUAGGUCAGGAAGUGUUCCGGAGGAACUUCAAGCAAAGCUGCUUCCAAACAGGGUACAGUGCCAAAUUCGGACAAGCGUUUGUGAAGGCUCGAGUUCGAAGAAAGCUUGGCGGUGCGUAUUAUGAAUUGGAAGACUUGCAAGGACGAUCUUUGGGGAACUACCACGCAAAGGACAUACGACAAUGAUAAGUCGCUUCAUGCGGUAUCAGCCUAGGAGAUGUAACCACCCCUAGUCUGAUCUGGUGGGGGGGCUUUGUAGCGGGCCUGAAGCGACGUAGAAGAAGUCGAUAGGUUUGGCGGGAAGGAUUAAUCGGCUAAGAUUUGAAAGAAAAAUUGAAAGUCAAGACCAUGAUAUCGAUCUCGGGGCCAGGGAUGCAUGCUGCCACCCUUUGACAGGCACAGGGUUACUUUGACCUGUUAACAGGCGCAGGGUUACUUUGACCUGUUAACGCGCAGAGAUGCUUUGGACAUCUGACAGGCCAUGUCAAAUUCCUUUUCCGGUUAAAGAUCUCGUUGAGAACGGGUGUGGGCGCAAACGAAUCUUUUGUAAGAAGUGCCAUCAUAGGAAAAUUCCAUUGUGAAACAACUCGACACGGUACGGAAAAGACAUACCUUUCGGUUGAUCGCGAUAUUUUGGCUCACGCAACCGCUGAUUCUCUUGCUCGUACAAGUGGAGUGACGGGGCGACAGAUCCUGCUCGGAGGAAAGACGCCACAGCUCAAAGACCGGACGGUCUUUCGCUUAUUGCGUGGGGCAGCGACCCACGCCAUUUAAACGCACCCCAUCGUCCAGUCGCCGGCUAAGUAAGCCGCAGAGCGCAGUCAGCCGGGGGCUGGAAUAAGCAAACGCCUUCCCGCUUGGGACCCUUCGCCUGCGAGGAGCACCCUAGACAGGGUUAAACAGCAGCGCGCGCCAAGGCGCGUGAAGAAGAAGCAGGAGCAAAUCAGGGAUGCUGCAAUGCUAAAGCCACCUGCGGCCUUCGUUUUCUCGGUUGCCCGAGCGCAGACCAUGCUGCAGUGAUGAAGCCAACUGCGGCCAUCGUCUUCCUGGUUGCCCAAUCGUCGGCCAAACAGAGGCAGAAUUCUCCGCCUUCGGCUGUCCUCUUCGCCCCGACUCUGUCCAGGAUUCCACUUCCAGCAGCUUCAGGGAGCACAGUUCACCAAAUCAUAGGGUUCAGCGGAGGCUAGCCUCGUCUAUUACCAUCCUAAUGUUUAAAGUAUAAAAAUCUCACAAAAUUUGUAUAUUCAUGAAGAAUAAUUAUCAGCCAACCUCAUUAACGUUCAAGUUCCCCCUGGGAGUUCGGGAAAUGUGUUCAGAAUUUGCAGUUAUAAGUAUUGUUAAGACAUCGCUAGUUCAAUUCAUUUUCGUUACACAUUCGUUAAACUCAUAUCAUGCUUAAGCAAUCUUUACAAAUAUUCACAAGCUAUUGUUGUCAGUUAAGUUCGGAUUGAAUUGUCAGGGAGAAAAUUCCCCCAAAAGUUCUGUGGCUCCACAUACAAGGUGUAGGUCGAAGUUGGGAAUUCUGAGUUGUAGCAAGAGAUAGAGUCUUCGUACUGUAAACCACCUUUCCGAAUUAACGCUUGUUUUCAGCCUACGCCGGAAGAUCGAUCUUUCGUCGUUGGAAAUUGAACAGUGAGUGAGUAAGCAUACCUUCCAAAAGUUGAAAUGUACGUAGUUUUGAAAACCAACUGAUCCUUGCCCAACCUCGCGAAUUUGAAACCUCUGGCCCCUGCCUAUUGAGGCUUUGCCUUGAGCGAUCUGAUCGUUGGCUAAUUAGGGACGCCAUCUGCAUCCAGUCAUCGACUGAACUCCGCAUAGGAUCUCACGUUUUGUCAGCCAGACCGCCUCUUUGAUUUUCGACUCAUUCCGAAGUUAAAAGAUUUAAUGAUUUUUCCACAUUUGUGCGAAAAGCGAAAGUAACGAACUUAAAGUAUUCAAUGAUUUUCCCAUGUUAUGCGAAAAGCGAAAUUUAUGAAUAUAAUUAGAAUUUAACUCGAAUUACAGUCUUAUUAUAUAUAUACUCAAUACAUUAUCAAAUAUCUUUAUAUACCCAACCAUUACGAAUCACCUAUUUUUAGUAGUUAUUAAGAUCAUUUACUAUGUUGCCAUAUCGGAUUUAAUUUUUGUGUUGAGGAAAUAAUGUUGAAGUUUAGAUAAAAGAACAAAAUGGACUCAAUGCUA